Lontra canadensis (Northern American river otter) is the source of this 577-nucleotide long non-coding RNA. RefSeq lists it as uncharacterized. The record is from RefSeq and is a predicted model, not a curated record. The transcript is spliced from 4 exons. Lineage: Eukaryota; Metazoa; Chordata; Mammalia; Carnivora; Mustelidae.
GGAUCUAAGUGGGAGGGUCUAAGUGCGACUUCCUCUUUUCUGGGUCCCGCCUGCUGGCGCGGGAUCUCGGCCGGGUGGUCGGUUCUCGCGAGUUCUUUGUCGCCUUUGGUGCUGGGAGAUUCCUUUCAGAGCCAGAAGCGACAGCGGAGGCUUGGAUCUUCCUUCGAGCGGUUGCUGGCUGCACCGGGUGUGUGACGAGCCGUGGGACCCAGCUCUGAGGAAAAAGUAAAGCAUACCUGGGAGUAGAUUCUAUGCCCAGUGGGGAACCCAAUGCAGGGCUUGAAAUCAUGACUCUGAAAUCAAGGGUUGGACACUUAUACUGAGCCACUCAGGCACCCUAAAGCUUAUGUCUUAAACAGAAGAGUAGUGAACAGAUGGAUGAGGGAUGACAUGUCAGUUUCUCAAUCUAAAGCGCUGGCUAAGACAACUAUGCUUCUCACCUUCCUUCAAUAACCUCAAAGCUGAAUUGUUUUUGGUGACCAAUCCUAUUGCCACACCUGCGACAGCAGAUGAAAUUGGAACUCCUAUAAUUGAGAAGAGCUUGUAUGUAAUGUGUACAUCAACCUAACACACGUAU